This is a long non-coding RNA of Brassica rapa (field mustard), 455 nucleotides long. RefSeq lists it as uncharacterized. The record is from RefSeq and is a predicted model, not a curated record. Lineage: Eukaryota; Viridiplantae; Streptophyta; Magnoliopsida; Brassicales; Brassicaceae.
GGCCGUUGGAUGAUUGAAACGACGGUUCGGAUUGAUUCGGCUUCGGUGGGUCCCGGAAGGCUAUAUUUAUUUGUUUUUUGCAUACGUAGGCGGCGUAUUUUUUGGGUUUACACGAAUAUCUAAAACAAUUGAAUUUAAAACGGAGUGGGCCGAAAAUUUCAAAAGGCAAGAUGUUAAUUGACAGAACUACCCUUGUCUUUAAAGCGGAAGAAGAAGAGGAGGAUUACAAGACCAAACACAAUGUCUAUUUUAAAAAGCAAAAGGGUUGUUUAGAGAUUAGAUUUAUUGACUUUGUAUUACAUAUGAUUUCUAUUUUAUUUGGGAAUCUCUGCUAAAACAGAGUUAUUAUAACAUGUAGGAUGCUUUUAUUGCUUGUUAUAUUUAGGCCUUGGCGGUUUCAGCCUCAUCAGCUCCCCAGAAACUUGUUUUCUUUCCUGUCUUUGAGACUGUCUGAA